Molecule: long non-coding RNA, 267 nt
Filed under: Anas zonorhyncha (Eastern spot-billed duck)
Lineage: Eukaryota; Metazoa; Chordata; Aves; Anseriformes; Anatidae
Description: lncRNA (ENSAZOG00000010634.1)
Source: RNAcentral
CCCAGUAUUCCCCAGUGUCUCCCAGUAAUGCCCAGUAACUCCCAGUAACACCCAGUAACUCUCCCAGUAACUCCCAGUAUCACCCCAGUAAUGCCCAGUAUAGCCCCAGUAACUCAGUGCCACCCAGUAUCACCCCAGUGCCCCCCCAGGAGCUCCCCCUGCCCCUCAAGUACCCUCCCAGUACCCUCCCAGUAUUCCCCAGUGUCUCCCAGUAAUGCCCAGUAACUCCCAGUAAUGCACAGUAUCGCCCCAGUAACCCCCAGUAUC